RNAcentral lists this ribosomal RNA (570 nucleotides) under uncultured bacterium. RNAcentral's name for it is "partial 16S ribosomal RNA". It matches the Rfam family "Bacterial small subunit ribosomal RNA", at positions 355 to 918 of the family's 1533-position model. The record is from RNAcentral.
UGGGGAAUUUUGGACAAUGGGCGAAAGCCUGAUCCAGCAAUGCCGCGUGUGUGAAGAAGGCCUUCGGGUUGUAAAGCACUUUUGUCCGGAAAGAAAUCCUUGGCUCUAAUACAGUCGGGGGAUGACGGUACCGGAAGAAUAAGCACCGGCUAACUACGUGCCAGCAGCCGCGGUAAUACGUAGGGUGCAAGCGUUAAUCGGAAUUACUGGGCGUAAAGCGUGCGCAGGCGGUUUGCUAAGACCGAUGUGAAAUCCCCGGGCUCAACCUGGGAACUGCAUUGGUGACUGGCAGGCUAGAGUAUGGCAGAGGGGGGUAGAAUUCCACGUGUAGCAGUGAAAUGCGUAGAGAUGUGGAGGAAUACCGAUGGCGAAGGCAGCCCCCUGGGCCAAUACUGACGCUCACGCACGAAAGCGUGGGGAGCAAACAGGAUUAGAUACCCUGGUAGUCCACGCCCUAAACGAUGUCAACUAGUUGUUGGGGAUUCAUUUCCUUAGUAACGUAGCUAACGCGUGAAGUUGACCGCCUGGGGAGUACGGUCGCAAGAUUAAAACUCAAAGGAAUUGACGGGG